RNAcentral lists this transfer RNA (71 nucleotides) under Marmota monax (woodchuck). RNAcentral's name for it is "tRNA.Thr". Lineage: Eukaryota; Metazoa; Chordata; Mammalia; Rodentia; Sciuridae. The record is from RNAcentral.
GGAUGGAGCUCAGUGGUAGAGUGCUUGCCUAGUAUGCACAAGGUCCUGUGUUCAAUCCCCAGUGCUGACCA